ACUACGGGAGGCUGCAGUGAGGAAUAUUGGUCAAUGGCCGAGAGGCUGAACCAGCCAAGUCGCGUGAGGGAUGACGGCCCUACGGGUUGUAAACCUCUUUUGUCGGGGAGCAAAGAGAGUCACGUGUGGCUCAUUGAGAGUACCCGAAGAAAAAGCAUCGGCUAACUCCGUGCCAGCAGCCGCGGUAAUACGGAGGAUGCGAGCGUUAUCCGGAUUUAUUGGGUUUAAAGGGUGCGCAGGCGGAGGUGCAAGUCAGUGGUCAAAUUGCGGGGCUCAACCCCGUACUGCCGUUGAAACUGCAUCCCUUGAGUGCGCGAAGGGUAGGCGGAAUGCGUGGUGUAGCGGUGAAAUGCAUAGAUAUCACGCAGAACUCCGAUCGCGAAGGCAGCCUACCGGCGCGCAACUGACGCUCAUGCACGAAAGCGUGGGUAUCGAACAGGAUCAGAUACCCUAGUAGUC
Molecule: ribosomal RNA, 459 nt
Filed under: uncultured bacterium
Lineage: Bacteria
Description: partial 16S ribosomal RNA
Rfam family: Bacterial small subunit ribosomal RNA
Source: RNAcentral